GACUCAUUCGGGUAGCCGUCGUUGCCCUGGGAUACCAGGAGACGCCUUGUCCUGAGCGUCCUGUAUCUAUAGAGACGACAACAUGGCGGCGCUGUGAGUGCUGAGCGUUCGUCCCAGGGACUAGGGGAGCUUCGCGAGUGGCAAGGGAAGGAGGCAAGACACGUUCAGAGGAAAAAGUAGAGAGUAAAAGCCAGAUCAAGGUAAUACCUAUGCUUCAGUGACACUCACUGGGGGCUUGCUGAGAGAUGCCACGUGUG
Molecule: long non-coding RNA, 257 nt
Filed under: Sus scrofa (pig)
Lineage: Eukaryota; Metazoa; Chordata; Mammalia; Artiodactyla; Suidae
Description: lncRNA (ENSSSCG00040014965.1)
Source: RNAcentral